RNAcentral lists this ribosomal RNA (253 nucleotides) under uncultured bacterium. Its description in RNAcentral is "partial 16S ribosomal RNA". It matches the Rfam family "Bacterial small subunit ribosomal RNA", at positions 524 to 776 of the family's 1533-position model. The record is from RNAcentral.
UACGUAGGGGGCUAGCGUUGCUCGGAAUUACUGGGCGUAAAGGGCGCGUAGGCGGAUCGUUAAGUCAGAGGUGAAAGCCCAGGGCUCAACCCUGGAAUUGCCUUUGAUACUGGCGAUCUUGAGUACGGGAGAGGUGUGUGGAACUCCGAGUGUAGAGGUGAAAUUCGUAGAUAUUCGGAAGAACACCAGUGGCGAAGGCGACACACUGGCCCGUUACUGACGCUGAGGCGCGAAAGCGUGGGGAGCAAACAGG